This is a long non-coding RNA of Lathyrus oleraceus (garden pea), 1201 nucleotides long. RefSeq lists it as uncharacterized. Lineage: Eukaryota; Viridiplantae; Streptophyta; Magnoliopsida; Fabales; Fabaceae. The record is from RefSeq and is a predicted model, not a curated record. The transcript is spliced from 3 exons.
GUUGAGGGAGGUGUCCAUGAAAAACCGUUUCGGCCUUCAGCCUGAAUUAAACCAAGGGAAUGCAUAGUAACAAGUCCAAAUACGAUGCUGCAAAUGAGUCCAUGCUUCCAUUGCUCAAACACGCAUUUCGGCAUCCAAAGCUUCAACGGAGUCCAGGCACCAGAGCGAAUCUGGAAUCGUCCACGCCAUGAUCCUGUUCGCAUCCUCUGUCGUCCUUGUUCUUACUUCAGAAUGCUUAAAUGGAAGCCAAGAACUUCAUACGAAAAUCCAAACUCGCGACUUCAAGAACCUUACGUUGAUUACAGAGACCAGAAGCAGAAGAAAACUUACCGGAAAUCGCGAUGCAGCUGAAACAGCCACAAACAAAGCCGAAGAAAUUUUGAACCACGACGAACGCUUCUCAUUCCUGCAUCUUCAUUAUCAUCAAUGGCGUUUGUAUCCUGCUUCAGUUUGAGCAAGAGGAGAAAAUCGAUUUCAACAACGAUGCGUUCACAUUCUUCAUCUUUCAUUCGAAGCUCCAGAGGUUCGCCGAUUUGCAGGUCCGUGGCGUUCACCAACCGCGCGGUCUUCAUUGUUCGCCUCCAUUCAAAGCUCCCAAGACUCGAUGCUUCAGCUCAUGCUACCACCAUCUGCGCAUAAACAGAAGAAGAAAAACGAAGACUUUUGAAAGCGAAUUGAAAAAUCACCGGAUUCGAAGUUUCAAUCACGAAUAGGGUAUUGAAAUCCUUUUUGCUGUCAAAAUAAUAUGUAGGAUGCUUAUGGUAUGAAAAUAUAUGUUGAAUGUUGUAUAUGGAAAGGCAUGUGCUGCAGGUAUUAUGCUCAGAAGUGAAUCAGGUUGACCUUCAUGUCAAGGUUUGCCCGAAGAAAAGAAAUGGCUGCCAUAAUGCUCAGUAGAAACUUGGGUUCAACAUGAUUUCUUGAUGAAAUGGGGCUGACUUAUUAAUGGCAUUUAAGGUAAUUCCAUGGAAGAGGAAAUAGCUUGGCCUUGAAGGAAAAUGACAUGAAGCAUGGAGGGCAUGAUCAUGAAGAUGGAUCUUAAUGAUUGAAAGCCAAGACUAGAAUCACAUGUUAUUUUGUACUUGUUUGGAUUUACCUUUGUAAUUUGCUUAACAUGUAAACUUAUGCACUUAAAAUGGGAACUUUAGAAAUUGUACGGAGAUUUAUGAAAUGGUAUUAAAUAAAUUUCACAUUUUAUGGAGAA